This 434-nucleotide ribosomal RNA is filed under the name uncultured bacterium. RNAcentral describes it as "partial 16S ribosomal RNA". It matches the Rfam family "Bacterial small subunit ribosomal RNA", at positions 29 to 507 of the family's 1533-position model. The record is from RNAcentral.
AGCGAACGCUGGCGGCAGGCCUAACACAUGCAAGUCGAACGAACCUUUCGGGGUUAGUGGCGGACGGGUGAGUAACACGUGGGAACGUGCCUUUAGGUUCGGAAUAACUCAGGGAAACUUGUGCUAAUACCGAAUGUGCCCUUCGGGGGAAAGAUUUAUCGCCUUUAGAGCGGCCCGCGUCUGAUUAGCUAGUUGGUUGAGGUAAUGGCUCACCAAGGCGACGAUCAGUAGGUGGGCUGAGAGGAUGAUCAGCCACAUUGGGACUGAGACACGGCCCAAACUCCUACGUGAGGCAGCAGUGGGGAAUCUUGCGCAAUGGGCGAAAGCCUGACGCAGCCAUGCCGCGUGAAUGAUGAAGGUCUUAGGAUUGUAAAAUUCUUUCACCGGGGACGAUAAUGACGGUACCCGGAGAAGAAGCCCCGGCUAACUUCGUG